RNAcentral lists this long non-coding RNA (616 nucleotides) under Manihot esculenta (cassava). RNAcentral's name for it is "long non-coding RNA (MESC_LNC006968)". The record is from RNAcentral. Lineage: Eukaryota; Viridiplantae; Streptophyta; Magnoliopsida; Malpighiales; Euphorbiaceae.
ACCUGUGUAUUCAGACACAUUUAAACAUCAGUUUCAUGUUAUUUGCUAGACUAUGUGGUUGUAAUAUGCAUCUUCUUUGUCCUUCUUAUGCAGCGUAAUCAUUCAACAAGCAAAUCUUAUUAGUACUAGAGUCAUCUCUGGAGCUGGAAGAGCUCGAGUUCGACCCUUCUUAUGCAGUGUAAUCGUUCAACCAGAGAAGUUCAAGUGGUGUACUAUUGUUUUGUAAAUUGGGAAUCAUCCUUGACUGUUCUAUGGAAGUUGUCUAUUGGUGGCAGCAGGAUUUUAUAUUUAAGACUGAACCAUUGAACUUACCUUGGUUCCUCUCUUGGGUCCAAUCGGUGGUGGCUUAGGUUUUGGAGCUUCACCUUCAGCUGGUUUUGUGGUGGUAGUAGGUGUUGCUGCGGCGGUGGCAGGUGGUGCUGGUGUUGCAUCCUCCUCAGCUGCCCUCACAACAAGCCUUGGAUUAUUGUUCUUUGAAGGGAAGAAUACCAAGUUGCUGCUCCUAGAACCUGAAUUGGUAUUGGCUGCAACAUUAGGAGUUAACAAGAAACCUGAAGCAGCAGAUGCCAUGCUGCAGCUAGCCAUGUUCUGCCUCACUACUCACUCUCUCUCCCUC